This 497-nucleotide ribosomal RNA is filed under the name uncultured bacterium. Its description in RNAcentral is "partial 16S ribosomal RNA". It matches the Rfam family "Bacterial small subunit ribosomal RNA", at positions 28 to 507 of the family's 1533-position model. The record is from RNAcentral.
GAUGAACGCUGGCGGCGUGCCUAAUACAUGCAAGUCGAGCGAACAGACGAGGAGCUUGCUCCUCUGACGUUAGCGGCGGACGGGUGAGUAACACGUGGAUAACCUACCUAUAAGACUGGGAUAACUUCGGGAAACCGGAGCUAAUACCGGAUAAUAUAUUGAACCGCAUGGUUCAAUAGUGAAAGACGGUUUUGCUGUCACUUAUAGAUGGAUCCCCGCCGCUUUAGCUAGUUGGUAAGGUAACGGCUUACCAAGGCGACGAUGCGUAGCCGACCUGGGAGGGUGAUCGGCCAAACUGGAACUGAGACACGGUCCAGACUCCUACGGGACGCAGCAGUAGGGAAUCUUCCGCAAUGGGCGAAAGCCUGACGGAGCAACGCCGCGUGAGUGAUGAAGGUCUUCGGAUCGUAAAACUCUGUUAUUAGGGAGGAACAAAUGUGUAAGAAACUAUGCACGUCUUGACGGUACCUAAUCAGAAAGCCACGGCUAACUACGUG